This 497-nucleotide ribosomal RNA is filed under the name uncultured bacterium. RNAcentral describes it as "partial 16S ribosomal RNA". It matches the Rfam family "Bacterial small subunit ribosomal RNA", at positions 28 to 507 of the family's 1533-position model. The record is from RNAcentral.
GAUGAACGCUGGCGGCGUGCCUAAUACAUGCAAGUCGAGCGAACAGACGAGGAGCUUGCUCCUCUGACGUUAGCGGCGGACGGGUGAGUAACACGUGGAUAACCUACCUAUAAGACUGGGAUAACUUCGGGAAACCGGAGCUAAUACCGGAUAAUAUAUUGAACCGCAUGGUUCAAUAGUGAAAGACGGUUUUGCUGUCACUUAUAGAUGGAUCCGCGCCGCAUUAGCUAGUUGGUAAGGUAACGGCUUACCAAGGCGACGAUGCGUAGCCGACCUGAGAGGGUGAUCGGCCACACUGGAAGUGAGACAGGGUCCAGACUCCUACGGGAGGCAGCAGUAGGGAAUCUUACGCAAUGGGCGAGAGCCUGACGGAGCAACGCGGCGUGAGUGAUGAAGGUCUUCGGAUCGUAAAACUCUGUUAUUAGGGAAGAACAAAUGUGUAAGUAACUAUGCACGUAUUGACGGUACCUAAUCAGAAAGCCACGGCUAACUACGUG